RNAcentral lists this ribosomal RNA (421 nucleotides) under uncultured bacterium. Its description in RNAcentral is "bacterial SSU rRNA". It matches the Rfam family "Bacterial small subunit ribosomal RNA", at positions 355 to 774 of the family's 1533-position model. The record is from RNAcentral.
UAAGGAAUAUUGGUCAAUGGACGCAAGUCUGAACCAGCCAUGCCGCGUGAAGGAUGAAGGUCCUCUGGAUUGUAAACUUCUUUUAUCUGGGACGAAAACGGGAUUUUUAUCUCAAUUGACGGUACCAGAGGAAUAAGCACCGGCUAACUCCGUGCCAGCAGCCGCGGUAAUACGGAGGGUGCGAGCGUUAUCCGGAUUUACUGGGUUUAAAGGGUGCGUAGGUGGGCUUAUAAGUCAGUAGUGAAAUCUCCGAGCUUAACUUGGAAACUGCCGUUGAUACUAUAGGUCUUGAAUUAUCUGGAGGUAAGCGGAAUAUGUCAUGUAGCGGUGAAAUGCUUAGAUAUGACAUAGAACACCAAUUGCGAAGGCAGCUUACUACAUAUAAAUUGACGCUGAGGCACGAAAGCGUGGGGAUCAAACA